GAUGAACGCUAGUUACAGGCUUAACACAUGCAAGUCGAGGGGCAGCACAGGUAGCAAUACCGGGUGGCGACCGGCGCACGGGUGAGUAACGCGUAUGCAACUUGCCUAUCAGAGGGGGAUAACCCGGCGAAAGUCGGACUAAUACCGCAUGAAGCAGGGGCCCCGCAUGGGGAUAUUUGCUAAAGAUUCAUCGCUGAUAGAUAGGCAUGCGUUCCAUUAGGCAGUUGGCGGGGUAACGGCCCACCAAACCGACGAUGGAUAGGGGUUCUGAGAGGAAGGUCCCCCACAUUGGUACUGAGACACGGACCAAACUCCUACGGGAGGCAGCAGUGAGGAAUAUUGGUCAAUGGGCGUAAGCCUGAACCAGCCAAGUCGCGUGAGGGAUGAAGGUUCUAUGGAUCGUAAACCUCUUUUAUAAGGGAAUAAAGUGCGGGACGUGUCCCGUUUUGUAUGUACCUUAUGAAUAAGGAUCGGCUAACUCCGUGCCAGCAGCCGCGGUAAUACGGAGGAUCCGAGCGUUAUCCGGAUUUAUUGGGUUUAAAGGGUGCGUAGGCGGCCUUUUAAGUCAGCGGUGAAAGUCUGUGGCUCAACCAUAGAAUUGCCGUUGAAACUGGGGGGCUUGAGUAUGUUUGAGGCAGGCGGAAUGCGUGGUGUAGCGGUGAAAUGCAUAGAUAUCACGCAGAACCCCGAUUGCGAAGGCAGCCUGCCAAGCCAUUACUGACGCUGAUGCACGAAAGCGUGGGGAUCAAACAGGAUUAGAUACCCUGGUAGUCCACGCAGUAAACGAUGAUCACUAGCUGUUUGCGAUACACUGUAAGCGGCACAGCGAAAGCGUUAAGUGAUCCACCUGGGGAGUACGCCGGCAACGGUGAAACUCAAAGGAAUUGACGGGGGCCCGCACAAGCGGAGGAACAUGUGGUUUAAUUCGAUGAUACGCGAGGAACCUUACCCGGGUUUGAACGCAUUCGGACCGAGGUGGAAACACCUUUUCUAGCAAUAGCCGUUUGCGAGGUGCUGCAUGGUUGUCGUCAGCUCGUGCCGUGAGGUGUCGGCUUAAGUGCCAUAACGAGCGCAACCCUUGCCACUAGUUACUAACAGGUAAAGCUGAGGACUCUGGUGGGACUGCCAGCGUAAGCUGCGAGGAAGGCGGGGAUGACGUCAAAUCAGCACGGCCCUUACAUCCGGGGCGACACACGUGUUACAAUGGCGUGGACAAAGGGAAGCCACCUGGCGACAGGGAGCGAAUCCCCAAACCACGUCUCAGUUCGGAUCGGAGUCUGCAACCCGACUCCGUGAAGCCGGAUUCGCUAGUAAUCGCGCAUCAGCCAUGGCGCGGUGAAUACGUUCCCGGGCCUUGUACACACCGCCCGUCAAGCCAUGAAAGCCGGGGGUACCUGAAGUACGUAACCGCAAGGAGCGUCCUAGGGUAAAACUGGUAAUUGGGGCUAAGUCAUAA
Molecule: ribosomal RNA, 1456 nt
Filed under: uncultured organism
Description: SSU rRNA
Rfam family: Bacterial small subunit ribosomal RNA
Source: RNAcentral